GACGACGCUGGCGGGUGGAUUAGGCAUGCAAGUCGAACGGUAUCAUCCUUUCGGGGGUGAGAGAGUGGCGAAUUGGUGAGUAACACGUAGGUUAUCUACCCUCAAGACGGGGACAACCCAGGGAAACUUGGGCUAAUACCGGAUGUGAGCAACUUUUAGUUGUUUGAAAGGUGGCGUAAGCUGUCGCUUGGGGAUGAGCCUGCGUCCUAUUAGUUAGUUGGUGAGGUAACGGCUCACCUAGGCAAUGAUAGGUAGGCGGCCUUAACGGGUGGUCGCCCACACUGGGAUUGAGAUACGGCCCAGACUCCUACGGGAGGCAGCAGUCGAGAAUAGUCUACAAUGGUCGGAAGACUGAUAGUGCGACGCCGCGUGAACGAUGAAUCCCUUCGGGGUGUAAAGUUCUUUUAUAUGUGAGCAGUGCUUCUUAUAUUAACAGUAUGGGGAGAGAGAUAUUAGCAUAUGAAUAAGCAACGGCUAACUCCGUG
Molecule: ribosomal RNA, 485 nt
Filed under: uncultured bacterium
Lineage: Bacteria
Description: bacterial SSU rRNA
Rfam family: Bacterial small subunit ribosomal RNA
Source: RNAcentral